This 461-nucleotide ribosomal RNA is filed under the name uncultured bacterium. RNAcentral's name for it is "bacterial SSU rRNA". It matches the Rfam family "Bacterial small subunit ribosomal RNA", at positions 28 to 507 of the family's 1533-position model. The record is from RNAcentral.
GAUGAACGCUGGCGGCGUGCCUAACACAUGCAAGUCGAACGUGAGGGUGCAGCGAUGUGCCUGAAAGUGGCGAACGGGUGAGUAACACGUAGGUGACCUACCCUGAAGUGGGGGAUAACCACUGGAAACGGUGGCUAAUACCGCAUGAGUCUCUUGGGAUGGGAAUCUUGGGAGAGAAAGCUUUAGUGCUUCAGGAGGGGCCUGCGCCCGAUUAGCUAGUUGGUGAGGUAAAGGCUCACCAAGGCGAUGAUCGGUAGCUGGUCUGAGAGGAUGAUCAGCCACACGGGAACUGAGACACGGUCCCGACUCCUACGGGGGGCAGCAGUGAGGAAUAUUGCACAAUGGGGGGAACCCUGAUGCAGCAACGCCGCGUGGAGGAUGAAGGUCUUUGGAUUGUAAACUCCUUUUCUGCGGGACGAGGAAGGACGGUACCGCAGGAAUAAGUCACGGCUAACUACGUG